Molecule: long non-coding RNA, 2498 nt
Organism: Pogona vitticeps (central bearded dragon)
Lineage: Eukaryota; Metazoa; Chordata; Lepidosauria; Squamata; Agamidae
Source: RefSeq, a predicted model, not a curated record
AUGAAAGCUGUGUCCUUUUCUAUUACUUCUAUAAACACCUUUAAAUAGAGGAAAACUACAGUUCUUUUCUUGCUGGAACAUGCCAUGGCAUUUGGUGCAAAAUUCAAAUUUAUAUUAAUAUAAGCAUAUUCCAGUGUCUAAUUCUUUUCUUGCGCAAACUAAGACUCAGUCAUCUUUAUUAAUAAAUAAAUUUUAACAACAACAAAAAAGAUUCAGAGUAACUCACUUAUCUGGUCUUCUGUAUUCUAUAUGAAUAAUCUGAAAUCUGCUCAAGUUCAAAGCCUACGUAAGGUGAUAACAGAUAAAGAUUCUUGGAAGGUAAUAAUUAUCAUGGACAAUAAUGUGGGGGAACAUCCUUUGGAACAAAAUUAUAAAUAUAUGUUUGAAAGGGAAAGUAUGCUAAAUUAUUAGGUACCCAAAGAUAUUCAAAAAUCCCACUACUCAAAACAAUCCUCUUCUGUUUAAAAUAAUUAUGAAAAAAAUGAUGGGAAGGGUGAUCAAGUCAAAGGUAAAGUGCAGGUUUGUGUAUGAAAAAGAGUGUGUAUCUGGUAUUUCAGCAAUAAAGAGUCACCUCAUUUUGAAAUAAGGAAAGAAGCAUCCGUUUUCAGUCUUUUACAACUCAGUGAUGGUGCUUUUAUUACAAAAAGAAUAAACAAAAAAGUAAAUAAAUAUAAGCAUCUCAAAUAUGUUAACAAUCAUUCAACAACUCUAUAAAACAGACAAAUGGAUGAAUACCAGCUGAAAGACUCCAGCUGAAAAGCAGUUGGCCUAAAUUCAAUUGGUAGUCCUAACUAGAGUAGACCUAUUUGAUCAGUUGCUGGAUGGUGAAUCAAGUUAUGUAAGUUUAAUUGAUUCAAUGGGACUAAACUACCUAGGACAACCAAUUAGAUCUGGGGCUCUGACUGCUCCUCAAAAUUCUACUUCUCUUUUUUUCUAGAUAAUUCCUAACAGCUGUACCACAUUCACCAGGGUAAGCUUGAGUGAUCAAAGGACUAGACCUUGUGUUCCCAUUUCUGUAGGCUAUAAGGCUAGGUAUGCAUUCCGGGAAAGGUCACUAAGUUCAAUGUAAACUAUGUAUAGAAUGUAUUGCAAGUCUGAAUAUCCUUCCUACAUGAUUGAUUUUGUUGCUCGGCUGAUGAAUGGCUUCACAAUCUAUAAUUUCUGCAAAUAUUUUUACACUUUUUUUUCUGGAGAGGACAACUCUUCACUUUCCAGUCCAGUUCUCCUGGAAUUCUUGGUUUUCCUGAACUCUGUCACUCAUCCUGUCAUUCUGGGAGAGAUAUCAGAUGCAACGACACGGCAAAUCCAGAAAAUAUAGACGAGCAUUUAUGGGAACGGAAAAGAGGGGACAUAUAGACUCAUGAUGGAAGAUUCUUCUCUCUCCUUGAUUUCUUUGCUUUGCGUGCAUUCUAUAAAUGCUGGAGAAUCUUCUUUGUGUGUGGCUCCUGACCAUGGUCAGGUAAAGCAGAAGACAGUAAGCAAGGACCCAUCUUAUGGGCAAACUGAGGAUGUAGAAAUUCCUUGCUAAAUAUAUGUUUAUCGGUUUAUAGCACAAGUGUCAGAAACCAUACUAAGUGUAUUUCACCUGAUGCUUUUUGACCUCACCUCAGUCAACUCAGUCAGUUUAUGACUGGUAAUUGCCCAUGGCUUGUGGCCAGAAACAUCUAGAGACCACUUGCAGCAGGGUUGUGGAACUCCUGUGGUUCUCCACCUAUUCUUGUUCUAAAAUGCCAAUAAUGGCAGCUGGGACCAAUGGCAAUUUAACAUUUGUACACUGCAAGUUUAUCAACUCAGGCCUUGCAGAAUGAGAAAAGACAGAGCUCUACUUCGUCCUAUAUCCACUUGUUUGCAAGUAAUCAUGUGCCUCCUUUAUUUUACUGCCUUCUUAAGGGAGGAAAGUGAUAAUCACAACUGAGCAGGAGGAGAUGAGGAGGCAGCAAAAUAUUGCUUGGAACAGGUUAGACACGGAAGAGCUAAACAACUGAGAACAGGAGGGUGGCCAGUAAAAUGGAUGCAGGGCAUUGCCUCUGCUUUGAAUUAGGAACUGCUGGCAUGGGAAAAACGAAAGCGAUCAGGUCCCUUCUUUCUAGGACAACCUACAAGUGAUGAGAAUGGAAGGUGGAACACAGGCCACGAAAGACAGGAGCUGUGUAACCACAAUCCCUGCAAAGCAGAUUUCUAGGAAAUCUAGUUGCAAAUCAGACUGGUGGCUAUACUUCAACUUCAAUUCCAUUUGCAAAAACUACACAAAGUUGUUCAUAGCUGUUGGCUGACGGGGAGCUGCUUCUUCCCAUUUCAGUCUCCUUCAAUCCAUUGUUCAGCUUCCUUGGCAUCAGCAUUUCUUGCCUCUCUCUUAAGACCUCAAUUAAACCACAACAUUGUCAUUUUGUUUUCUUCCUGAAUGAAUCUGUUUGUAGAAAAGCUCUGAUCUUGUAUCUGUUGCUUCACAAAUGCUGAAUGACAGCAUUCUACUACACUAAAUAAAGGAUUUGAAAUUA